RNAcentral lists this transfer RNA (76 nucleotides) under Clostridia bacterium. RNAcentral describes it as "tRNA-Pro". It matches the Rfam family "tRNA". From Rfam's summary of the family: Transfer RNA (tRNA) molecules are approximately 80 nucleotides in length. Their secondary structure includes four short double-helical elements and three loops (D, anti-codon, and T loops). Further hydrogen bonds mediate the characteristic L-shaped molecular structure. tRNAs have two regions of fundamental functional importance: the anti-codon, which is responsible for specific mRNA codon recognition, and the 3' end, to which the tRNAs corresponding amino acid is attached (by aminoacyl-tRNA synthetases). tRNAs cope with the degeneracy of the genetic code in two manners: having more than one tRNA (with a specific anti-codon) for a particular amino acid; and 'wobble' base-pairing, i.e. permitting non-standard base-pairing at the 3rd anti-codon position. The record is from RNAcentral. Lineage: Bacteria; Bacillati; Bacillota; Clostridia.
CGAGGUGUAGCGCAGUUGAUAGCGCGCCAGUUUCGGGUACUGGAGGCCGCGGGUUUGAGUCCCGCCACUUCGACCA